UGGGGAAUCUUCCGCAAUGGACGAAAGUCUGACGGAGCAACGCCGCGUGAGUGAAGAAGGUUUUCGGAUCGUAAAACUCUGUCUUUUGGGGCGAACGUGAGUAUGGUGAACAAUCAUAGUCAGUGACGGUACCAAAGGAGGAAGCCACGGCUAACUACGUGCCAGCAGCCGCGGUAAUACGUAGGUGGCAAGCGUUGUCCGGAAUUAUUGGGCGUAAAGAGCGCGUAGGCGGGAUAGUCAGUCUGUUGUAAAAGUGCGGGGCUCAACCCCGUGAUGGCAAUGGAAACAGCUAUUCUUGAGUGCAGGAGAGGAAAGUGGAAUUCCCAGUGUAGCGGUGAAAUGCGUAGAUAUUGGGAGGAACACCAGUGGCGAAGGCGACUUUCUGGACUGUGUCUGACGCUGAGGCGCGAAAGCCAGGGGAGCGAACGGGAUUAGAUACCCCGGUAGUCCUGGCCGUAAAACGAUGGGUACUAGGUGUGGGAGGUAUCGACCCCUUCCGUGCCGGAGUUAACGCAAUAAGUACCCCGCCUGGGGAGUACGGUCGCAAGACUGAAACUCAAAGGAAUUGAC
This 570-nucleotide ribosomal RNA is filed under the name uncultured bacterium. Its description in RNAcentral is "partial 16S ribosomal RNA". It matches the Rfam family "Bacterial small subunit ribosomal RNA", at positions 355 to 914 of the family's 1533-position model. The record is from RNAcentral.